Molecule: ribosomal RNA, 253 nt
Filed under: uncultured bacterium
Lineage: Bacteria
Description: partial 16S ribosomal RNA
Rfam family: Bacterial small subunit ribosomal RNA
Source: RNAcentral
UACGGAGGAUUCGAGCGUUAUCCGGAUUUAUUGGGUUUAAAGGGUGCGUAGGCGGACUGGUAAGUGAGCUGUGAAAGUUUACGGCUCAACCGUGAAAUUGCAGUUGAUACUGUUGAUCUUGAGUAUACAUGAGGUGGGCGGAAUUUGUCGUGUAGCGGUGAAAUGCUUAGAUAUCACAAAGAACUCCAACUGCGAAGGCAGCUCCCUGGGGUUUAACUGACGCUGAUGCACGAAGGUGUGGGUAGCAAACAGG